GGUUUACGAGCUUUCCUACCUAAGGCUGAGCUUAUGAAAAGAGUAAAUUGCUCUACUGAAUUGAAAGAGAAUAUGGGACGUCAUAUGUAUGUACAAAUUACUCUAGUAGAUGAAGCUAAAAACAAUUUGAUAAUUAGUCAGAAGGAAGCUUGGGAAAAGCUACAUCUUCGAGAAGG
This is a long non-coding RNA of Abrus precatorius (Indian licorice), 176 nucleotides long. RefSeq lists it as uncharacterized. The transcript has 3 exons. The record is from RefSeq and is a predicted model, not a curated record. Lineage: Eukaryota; Viridiplantae; Streptophyta; Magnoliopsida; Fabales; Fabaceae.